This 47-nucleotide ribosomal RNA is filed under the name Macrophomina phaseolina. Its description in RNAcentral is "partial 28S ribosomal RNA". RNAcentral also lists the same sequence under 5 other names. Lineage: Eukaryota; Fungi; Ascomycota; Dothideomycetes; Botryosphaeriales; Botryosphaeriaceae. The record is from RNAcentral.
UGACCUCGGAUCAGGUAGGGAUACCCGCUGAACUUAAGCAUAUCAAA